UGGUGGAGUGAUUUGUCUGGUUAAUUCCGUUAACGAACGAGACCCCUGCCUGCUAAAUAGCCGAAUGAGUUGAUUUUUCACUGAUUGUGGCUUCUUAGAGGGACGUGCAUUUUAUUAGAUGCAGGAGGAUAGGGGCAAUAACA
RNAcentral lists this ribosomal RNA (143 nucleotides) under uncultured eukaryote. RNAcentral describes it as "partial 18S ribosomal RNA". It matches the Rfam family "Eukaryotic small subunit ribosomal RNA", at positions 1299 to 1458 of the family's 1831-position model. The record is from RNAcentral.